Molecule: ribosomal RNA, 253 nt
Filed under: uncultured bacterium
Lineage: Bacteria
Description: partial 16S ribosomal RNA
Rfam family: Bacterial small subunit ribosomal RNA
Source: RNAcentral
UACGUAGGGGGCAAGCGUUGUCCGGAAUCAUUGGGCGUAAAGCGCGCGUAGGCGGCCCGGUAAGUCCGCUCUGAAAGUCCAGGGCUUAACCCUGGAAAGCGGGUGGAUACUGCCGGGCUUGAAUCCGGAAGAGGCGAGUGGAAUUCCUGGUGUAGCGGUGGAAUGCGCAGAUAUCAGGAGGAACACCAAUAGCGAAGGCAGCUCGCUGGGACGGUAUUGACGCUAAGGCGCGAAAGCAUGGGGAGCAAACAGG